AUUGAACGCUGGCGGCAUGCUUUACACAUGCAAGUCGAACGGUAACAGGUCUUCGGAUGCUGACGAGUGGCGAACGGGUGAGUAAUGUAUCGGAACGUGCCCAGUAGUGGGGGAUAACUACUCGAAAGAGUGGCUAAUACCGCAUGAGAACUGAGGUUGAAAGCGGGGGACCUUCGGGCCUCGCGCUACUGGAGCGGCCGAUAUCAGAUUAGGUAGUUGGUGGGGUAAAGGCCUACCAAGCCGACGAUCUGUAGCUGGUCUGAGAGGACGACCAGCCACACUGGGACUGAGACACGGCCCAGACUCCUACGGGAGGCAGCAGUGGGGAAUUUUGGACAAUGGACGCAAGUCUGAUCCAGCAAUGCCGCGUGCAGGACGAAGGCCUCGGUUGUAACGUAGCUUUUGUACUAGAACGAAAAGGACUCUGGUUAAUACCUGGGGCUCGAUGACGGUACUGUAAGAAUAAGCACCGGCUAACUACGUGCCAGCAGCCGCGGUAAAG
Molecule: ribosomal RNA, 502 nt
Filed under: uncultured bacterium
Lineage: Bacteria
Description: bacterial SSU rRNA
Rfam family: Bacterial small subunit ribosomal RNA
Source: RNAcentral